UAGGGAAUCUUCCGCAAUGGGCGAAAGCCUGACGGAGCAACGCCGCGUGAGUGAUGAAGGUCUUCGGAUCGUAAAACUCUGUUAUUAGGGAAGAACAAAUGUGUAAGUAACUAUGCACGUCUUGACGGUACCUAAUCAGAAAGCCACGGCUAACUACGUGCCAGCAGCCGCGGUAAUACGUAGGUGGCAAGCGUUAUCCGGAAUUAUUGGGCGUAAAGCGCGCGUAGGCGGUUUUUUAAGUCUGAUGUGAAAGCCCACGGCUCAACCGUGGAGGGUCAUUGGAAACUGGAAAACUUGAGUGCAGAAGAGGAAAGUGAAAUUCCAUGUGUAGCGGUGAAAUGCGCAGAGAUAUGGAGGAACACCAGUGGCGAAGGCGACUUUCUGGUCUGUAACUGACGCUGAUGUGCGAAAGCGUGGGGAUCAAACAGG
This 429-nucleotide ribosomal RNA is filed under the name Actinomycetes bacterium. Its description in RNAcentral is "Actinobacteria bacterium partial 16S ribosomal RNA". It matches the Rfam family "Bacterial small subunit ribosomal RNA", at positions 355 to 776 of the family's 1533-position model. Lineage: Bacteria; Bacillati; Actinomycetota; Actinomycetes. The record is from RNAcentral.